GAUGAACGCUGGCGGCGUGCUUAACACAUGCAAGUCGAGCGAGAAAAGUUCUUCGGAGCUUUUCUAGCGGCGGACGGGUGAGUAACACGUGGGUAACCUGCCUCAUAGAGGGGAAUAGCCUUCCGAAAGGAAGAUUAAUACCGCAUAAUAUUGUUGAAAGGUAUCUUUUAACAAUCAAAGGAGCAAUCCGCUAUGAGAUGGGGCCCGCGGCGCAUUAGCUAGUUGGUGAGGUAACGGCUCACCAAGGCGACGAUGCGUAGCCGACCUGAGAGGGUGAUCGGCCACAUUGGAACUGAGACACGGUCCAGACUCCUACGGGAGGCUG
RNAcentral lists this ribosomal RNA (325 nucleotides) under uncultured Bacillota bacterium. RNAcentral's name for it is "bacterial SSU rRNA". It matches the Rfam family "Bacterial small subunit ribosomal RNA", at positions 28 to 351 of the family's 1533-position model. Lineage: Bacteria; Bacillati; Bacillota. The record is from RNAcentral.